UGGAAACUUGCCAGCCUCCAUAACAGUACAAAAGAAGGUAAUUUCAGAGAAAGAGAGAAGCAUAAAGAGUUGUUGGCAUAUGUGAUAGGAGAAGUUCAGCUCAGAUCAGGCCUGAGACGACCUAGGCAAUGCAUUCUACAUGAGGCAGACACCAAAGUUCUUCUGCUAGUGACUUCAGCCAACACAGCAUACUCUUCCUGGAAAUCAAAGACCACGUUAUAACCAGCAGUACAAGCUAAAGGGCAAAAUUUUCGAAGUGGAACUUCUCUAACAGAAAAAAACAACAACAACAGUGGAACAGUUGGAAAGAAGGAAGAAAACUGACAGUGACAGAAUGGCUAUGUUUCCAUUACGCAUAAUCUUGCAUUCACGCACACAUAAGAAUACAAAUGCAAAACAACACAAAACAAAAAGCAGAAUGAUACA
RNAcentral lists this long non-coding RNA (426 nucleotides) under Homo sapiens (human). Its description in RNAcentral is "HSALNT0409106". Lineage: Eukaryota; Metazoa; Chordata; Mammalia; Primates; Hominidae. The record is from RNAcentral.